This 243-nucleotide unclassified non-coding RNA is filed under the name Coniochaeta sp. RNAcentral describes it as "partial contains 5.8S ribosomal RNA, internal transcribed spacer 2, and large subunit ribosomal RNA". The record is from RNAcentral. Lineage: Eukaryota; Fungi; Ascomycota; Sordariomycetes; Coniochaetales; Coniochaetaceae.
CGCACAUUGCGCCCCUUAGUAUUCUAGAGGGCAUGCCUGUUCGAACGUCAUUUCAACCCUCAAGCCCGGCUUGGUGUUGGGGCGCCACGUGCCUGGUCACGUGCGCCCUGGAAGACAGUGGCGGACCGCCGCAGUCCUGAGCGUAGUAUCUACGUCGCUCCGGGUGCUGCUGCGAGUCUCGCCGUGAACUCUCACAUACCAAAAGUUGACUUCGGAUCAGGUAGGAAUACCCGCUGAACUUAA